AUUGAACGCUGGCGGCAGGCCUAACACAUGCAAGUCGAACGGUAACAGGAAGAAGCUUGCUUCUUUGCUGACGAGUGGCGGACGGGUGAGUAAUGUCUGGGAAACUGCCUGAUGGAGGGGGAUAACUACUGGAAACGGUAGCUAAUACUGCAUAACGUCGCAAGACCAAAGAGGGGGACCUUCGGGCCUCUUGCCAUCGGAUGUGCCCAGAUGGGAUUAGCUAGUAGGUGGGGUAACGGCUCACCUAGGCGACGAUCCCUAGCUGGUCUGAGAGGAUGACCAGCCACACUGGAACUGAGACACGGUCCAGACUCCUACGGGAGGCAGCAGUGGGGAAUAUUGCACAAUGGGCGCAAGCCUGAUGCAGCCAUGCCGCGUGUAUGAAGAAGGCCUUCGGGUUGUAAAGUACUUUCAGCGGGGAGGAAGGGAGUAAAGUUAAUACCUUUGCUCAUCGACGUUACCCGCAGAAGAAGCACCGGCUAACUCCGUG
Molecule: ribosomal RNA, 490 nt
Filed under: uncultured bacterium
Lineage: Bacteria
Description: partial 16S ribosomal RNA
Rfam family: Bacterial small subunit ribosomal RNA
Source: RNAcentral